CUGGCGGCGUGCCUAACACAUGCAAGUCGAACGAGAAAGUCCCGCAAGGGAUGAGUACAGUGGCGCACGGGUGAGUAACACGUGACUAACCUACCUUCGAGUGGGGAAUAACCUCGGGAAACCGGGGCUAAUACCGCAUAACAUCAUCGGGUGAAAUUCCUGCUGAUCAAAAGUUUUUUGCUUGAAGAGGGGGUCGCGGCUGAUUAGCUAGUUGGUGAGGUGAUGGCUCACCAAGGCGAUGAUCAGUAGCCGGCCUGAGAGGGCGCACGGCCACACUGGAACUGAAACACGGUCCAGACUCCUACGGGAGGCAGCAGUGGGGAAUUUUGCGCAAUGGGGGAAACCCUGACGCAGCAACGCCGCGUGGAGGAUGAAGUCCCUUGGGACGUAAACUCCUUUCGACCGGGACGAAUUAUGACGGUACCGGAAGAAGAAGCCCCGGCUAACUUCGUGCCAGCAGCCGCGGUAAUACGAGGGGGGCAAGCGUUGUUCGGAAUUAUUGGGCGUAAAGGGCGCGUANGCGGUGCGGAAAGUCUUCAGUGAAAUCUCUGGGCUCAACUCAGAGUCUGCUGGGGAAA
Molecule: ribosomal RNA, 578 nt
Filed under: uncultured bacterium
Lineage: Bacteria
Description: bacterial SSU rRNA
Rfam family: Bacterial small subunit ribosomal RNA
Source: RNAcentral